UCAAGUAAUUAAGUGCAUGUGGUGGAUGCCUUGGCAGUCAGAGGCGAUGAAAGACGUGAUAGCCUGCGAAAAGCUCCGGGGAGGCGGCAAAUAUCCUUUGAUCCGGAGAUGUCUGAAUGGGGGAACCCACCUACUUUAAGGUAGGUAUUGCAACAUGAAUACAUAGUGUUGCAAGGCGAACGAGGGGAAGUGAAACAUCUCAGUACCCUUAGGAAAAGAAAUCAAUUGAGAUUCCCUCAGUAGCGGCGAGCGAACGGGGAUCAGCCCAUUAAGUUAUGUGUGUUUUAGUGGAACGCUCUGGGAAGUGCGAACGUAGAGGGUGAUAUUCCCGUACACGAAAGGGCACACAUAAUGAUGACGAGUAGGGCGAGGCACGUGAAACCUUGUCUGAAUAUGGGGGGACCAUCCUCCAAGGCUAAAUACUCCUGACUGACCGAUAGUGAACCAGUACCGUGAGGGAAAGGCGAAAAGAACCCCUGUGAGGGGAGUGAAAUAGAUCCUGAAACCGCAUGCAUACAAGCAGUGGGAGCACCUUCGUGGUGUGACUGCGUACCUUUUGUAUAAUGGGUCAGCGACUUAUAUUCAGUAGCGAGGUUAACCGUAUAGGGGAGCCGUAGAGAAAUCGAGUCUUAAUAGGGCGUUUAGUUGCUGGGUAUAGACCCGAAACCAGGCGAUCUAUCCAUGAGCAGGUUGAAGGUUGGGUAACACUAACUGGAGGACCGAACCCACUGUCGUUGAAAAGCCAGGGGAUGACUUGUGGAUAGGGGUGAAAGGCUAAUCAAGCCUGGUGAUAGCUGGUUCUCCCCGAAAGCUAUUUAGGUAGCGCCUCGGACGAAUACCAUAGGGGGUAGAGCACUGUUUCGGCUAGGGGGUCAUCCCGACUUACCAAACCUAUGCAAACUCCGAAUACCUAUGAGUACUAUCCGGGAGACAGACUAGCGGGUGCUAACGUCCGUAGUCAAGAGGAAAACAAUCCAGACCGCCAGCUAAGGCCCCAAAAUCAUAGUUAAGCGGGAAACGAUGUGGGAAGGCAUAGACAGCUAGGAGGUUGGCUUAGAAGCAGCCACCCUUUAAAGAAAGCGUAAUAGCUCACUAGUCGAGUCGGCCUGCGCGGAAGAUGUAACGGGGCUAAAACUAUGUGCCGAAGCUGCGGAUGUAUACUUUGUAUACGUGGUAGGGGAGCGUUCUGUAAGCCGAUGAAGGUGUGUUGAGAAGCAUGCUGGAGGUAUCAGAAGUGCGAAUGCUGACGUGAGUAACGACAAAACGGGUGAAAAACCCGUUCGCCGAAAGACCAAGGGUUCCAGUCCAACGUUAAUCGGGGCUGGGUGAGUCGACCCCUAAGGCGAGGCCGAAAGGCGUAGUCGAUGGGAAAAUGGUUAAUAUUCCAUUACUUCUGUGUAAUGCGAUGAGAGGACGGAGAAGGCUAAAUCAGCCUGGCGUUGGUUGUCCAGGUGAAAGGAUGUAGGCAUGUAUCUUAGGCAAAUCCGGGGUACUCUAUGCUGAGAUCUGAUAGCAAGCUGUACUUGUACAGCGAAGUGGUUGAUGCCAUGCUUCCAGGAAAAGUCUCUAAGCUUCAGUUACACAGGAAUCGUACCCGAAACCGACACAGGUGGUCAGGUCGAGUAGACCAAGGCGCUUGAGAGAACUCUGCUGAAGGAACUAGGCAAAAUGGUACCGUAACUUCGGGAGAAGGUACGCUGUUGUUGGUGAUGGAACUCGCUUCCUGAGCUGACGACAGCCGCAGAAACCAGGCCGCUGCAACUGUUUAUUAAAAACAUAGCACUCUGCAAACACGAAAGUGGACGUAUAGGGUGUGAUGCCUGCCCGGUGCUGGAAGGUUAAUUGAUGGGGUUAGCGUAAGCGAAGCUCUUGAUCGAAGCCCCAGUAAACGGCGGCCGUAACUAUAACGGUCCUAAGGUAGCGAAAUUCCUUGUCGGGUAAGUUCCGACCUGCACGAAUGGCAUAAUGAUGGCGGCGCUGUCUCCAGCAGAGGCUCAGUGAAAUCGAAAUCGCUGUGAAGAUGCAGUGUACCCGCGGCUAGACGGAAAGACCCCGUGAACCUUUACUGCAGCUUGACACUGAACUUUGACCUUACUUGUGUAGGAUAGGUGGGAGGCUUUGAAGCUGGAACGCUAGUUCCAGUGGAGCCGUCCUUGAAAUACCACCCUGGUAAUGUUGAGGUUCUAACUCUGUCCCGUGAUCCGGGACGAGGACCGUGUCUGGUGGGUAGUUUGACUGGGGCGGUCUCCUCCUAAAGAGUAACGGAGGAGUACGAAGGUGCGCUCAGCGUGGUCGGAAAUCACGCGUAGAGUAUAAAGGCAAAAGCGCGCUUAACUGCGAGACCCACAAGUCGAGCAGGUACGAAAGUAGGUCUUAGUGAUCCGGUGGUUCUGUAUGGAAGGGCCAUCGCUCAACGGAUAAAAGGUACUCUGGGGAUAACAGGCUGAUACCGCCCAAGAGUUCAUAUCGACGGCGGUGUUUGGCACCUCGAUGUCGGCUCAUCUCAUCCUGGGGCUGAAGCAGGUCCCAAGGGUAUGGCUGUUCGCCAUUUAAAGAGGUACGCGAGCUGGGUUUAGAACGUCGUGAGACAGUUCGGUCCCUAUCUACCGUGGGCGCUGGAAAUUUGAGAGGAUCUGCUCCUAGUACGAGAGGACCAGAGUGGACGAACCUCUGGUGUACCGGUUGUGACGCCAGUCGCAUCGCCGGGUAGCUAUGUUCGGAAGGGAUAACCGCUGAAAGCAUCUAAGCGGGAAGCCUACCUCAAGAUAAGAUUUCCCUAGGACUUUAUGUCCUCUAAAGAGCCGUUCGAGACUAGGACGUUGAUAGGUUGGAUGUGGAAGCAUAGUGAUAUGUGAAGCUGACCAAUACUAAUUGCUCGUGAGGCUUGACUAU
Molecule: ribosomal RNA, 2892 nt
Filed under: Acinetobacter baumannii AB5711
Lineage: Bacteria; Pseudomonadati; Pseudomonadota; Gammaproteobacteria; Moraxellales; Moraxellaceae
Description: bacterial LSU rRNA
Rfam family: Bacterial large subunit ribosomal RNA
Source: RNAcentral